Molecule: non-coding RNA, 369 nt
Organism: Ictidomys tridecemlineatus (thirteen-lined ground squirrel)
Lineage: Eukaryota; Metazoa; Chordata; Mammalia; Rodentia; Sciuridae
Source: RefSeq, a predicted model, not a curated record
GGGUUGAGGUCCACCCCCUGCCGUCCGCCGGGAGACGUGUUUCGCCACGCCCGGGCCAUGGGCGGCCCCGUCCCGAAAUUUUCUGGGAGUUGUGGUCCGCGGGUCGCUGCCUCCGGGUCCAGCGCCUGCAGAGCCAACCUAAGCUUUGCCGAACCAGUCCUGAGAUAAUGAUCAACUAGACCAAGAUUACCUGCUUUGCCAACUAUGCAGAUCCCCCAGCAGUGCAACCCCCCUAUGCUUGCCUUUGUUCCCCUUUUUUAAAAAGCCUAAAAAAUUCCUGUAGCCCCCGCUGACAGAUAUUAGGUCUCUGGGCCUUUUUCUGUCCUUCCUACUGCCGCCACACUGAUUAAAGCUCCUUUCCUGCCUUUA